This 520-nucleotide ribosomal RNA is filed under the name uncultured bacterium. Its description in RNAcentral is "bacterial SSU rRNA". It matches the Rfam family "Bacterial small subunit ribosomal RNA", at positions 8 to 518 of the family's 1533-position model. The record is from RNAcentral.
AGAGUUGAUCAUGGCUCAGGAUGAACGCUAGCUACAGGCUUGACACAUGCAAGUCGAGGGGCAGCAUGUCGAAGCUUGCUUGACAGAUGGCGACCGGCGCACGGGUGAGUAACGCGUAUCCAACCUUCCCCAUAGUAGGGCAUAGCCCGUAGAAAUGCGGAUUAAUACCCUAUGUAUUCCGAGGAUGACAUCUGAUUCGGAACAAAGGUUCACCGCUAUGGGAUGGGGAUGCGUCUGAUUAGGUAGUAGGCGGGGUAACGGCCCACCUAGCCGACGAUCAGUAGGGGUUCUGAGAGGAAGGUCCCCCACAUUGGAACUGAGACACGGUCCAAACUCCUACGGGAGGCAGCAGUGAGGAGUAUUGGUCAAUGGGCGAGAGCCUGAACCAGCCAAGUAAGCGUGCAGGACGACGGCCCUAUGGGUUGUAAACUGCUUUUAUACAGGGAUAAAGUCGGGGACGCGUUCCCCGUUUGCAGGUACUGUAUGAAUAAGGACCGGCUAAUUCCGUGCCAGCCGCAGC